UCUUAUAUGGAGAGUUUGAUCCUGGCUCAGGACGAACGCUGGCGGCGUGCCUAAUACAUGCAAGUCGAGCGGACGGAUGGGAGCUUGCUCCCAGACCGUCAGCGGCGGACGGGUGAGUAACACGUGGGCAACCUGCCUGUAAGACUGGGAUAACUCCGGGAAACCGGGGCUAAUACCGGAUAAUUCUUUUCCUCACAUGAGGAAAAGCUGAAAGAUGGCAUCUCGCUAUCACUUACAGAUGGGCCCGCGGCGCAUUAGCUAGUUGGUGAGGUAACGGCUCACCAAGGCGACGAUGCGUAGCCGACCUGAGAGGGUGAUCGGCCACACUGGGACUGAGACACGGCCCAGACUCCUACGGGAGGCAGCAGUAGGGAAUCUUCCGCAAUGG
This 388-nucleotide ribosomal RNA is filed under the name Cytobacillus firmus. RNAcentral describes it as "bacterial SSU rRNA". It matches the Rfam family "Bacterial small subunit ribosomal RNA", at positions 1 to 374 of the family's 1533-position model. Lineage: Bacteria; Bacillati; Bacillota; Bacilli; Caryophanales; Bacillaceae. The record is from RNAcentral.